Nothobranchius furzeri (turquoise killifish) is the source of this 1149-nucleotide long non-coding RNA. The record is from Ensembl. NCBI's taxonomy places the organism in Eukaryota, Metazoa, Chordata, Actinopteri, Cyprinodontiformes, Nothobranchiidae.
AUGUCUCCAGUCCAAGGGUCAACGCCUCCAGUCCAAUGGUCAACGCCUCCAGUCUCAGGGUCAAUGCCUCCAGUCUCAGGGUCGACGCCUCCUGUCUCUAAGUCGACGCCUCCUGUCUCGAGGUCGACACCUCCUGUCUCAAGGUCGACGCCUCCCGUCUCCAGCUCUGAAGUGGACGUUCCCGUCUCCAGCUCUGAAGUAGAGAUCUCCCCGUCUCAAGUCUCGACAUCCCCGUCUCAAGUCUCGACGUCUCAUGUGUUCCAGUCUCCCAAGUCUCAAGUGUUCCAGUCCCCUCAAGUGUUCCAGUCCUCUCAAGUGUUCCAGACCCCUCAAGUUUUCCAGACCCCUCAAGUGUCCCAGACCCCUCAAGUGUCCCAGUCUCAAGUGUCCCAGUCUCUCGAGUCCCAAGUGUUCUUUCUUUUGUUCUGGACUUUGUUCCAGUCUCAGUCCCUGCCUCCAGAGACUCUUCCUCAUCCGCUGAAGUCCCUUCCUCGUCCUCCUCCUCCAAAGCCCCCGAUCUCCAGGGUUUCCUGUUCCCGCCUCCUGGUUCCCCGUUGCCGGCGCCCAAGGCUUCCCUGCUCCCGCCUCCUGGUUCCUCGUCGCCGACCCCCGAGACUUCCCUGGUCCCGCCUCCUGGUUUCCCAUCGCCGGCCCCACAGAGUUUCCUGUUCCCAGCUCCUGGUUCCCCGUCGCCGGCCCCCGAGACUUUCAUGGUCCCGCCUCCUGGUUCCCCGUCGCCGGCCCCCGAGUCUUUCAUGGUCCCACCUCCUGGUUCCCCGUCGCCGGCCCCCGAGACUUUCAUGGUCCCGCCUCCUGGUUCCCCGUCCCCGGCCCCCGAGACUUCCCUGGUCCCGCCUCCUGGUUUCCCGUCGCCGCCCCCCCCAGUUUCCUGUUCCCGGCUCCUGGUUCCCCGUCGCCGGCCCCCGAGACUUUCAUGGUCCCGCCUCCUGGUUCCCCGUCCCCCGAGACUUCCCUGGUCCCGCCUCCUGGUUUUCCGUCGCCGCCCCCCCAGUUUCCUGUUCCCGGCUCCUGGUUCCCCGUCGCCGGCCCCCGAAACUUUCAUGGUCCCGCCUCCUGGUUCCCCGUUGCCGGCCCCCGAGACUUUCAUGGUCCCGCCUCCUGGUUCCCCGUCGCCGNGUAUAUUCGUAA